This 885-nucleotide long non-coding RNA is filed under the name Homo sapiens (human). RNAcentral describes it as "HSALNT0118656". The record is from RNAcentral. Lineage: Eukaryota; Metazoa; Chordata; Mammalia; Primates; Hominidae.
UGAUGAUUCACUAAAAAGACUCACAGAACUUAGUGAAAGCUAAUGUCACACCUACUGUAGAGGAGUGAAAGUACAAAUUGUUUCUCACAAGGAAUGAGUGCCACUCUUCAGUUUUUAAGCAGAGAAGGAACAUGCUGGAUCUGUAUUUUGGACAGAGAGUCCUUUCUAUGGAGGAGACAUUAUGCUAGAAUUUUCACACAGAUUAUUUUAUUUAACUCCAAGAACUACUCCAUGAAAUAGGCAUGAUCAUCACCUUCAUUGUUUACAGAGAUUCUGGCUUCCCCACUGUAAGAACUGAAGAUACUGCAGCUGAAUUGAUGUCAUGAAAAGGCCUUCAUUCAAUUAGAGUGGGUAUCUUGUGUGGUCUCUAUUUAAUAACUUCCACUUUUGUACAUUUCAAUUUCUGUACGUGCUCUGAGAUAAACAGCCAGAGUCUUUAAGCAAGAGAGACAACAACUAAAAACAACAAUGAAAACUUAGUUACAGCUACAGCGAUAUAUAGGUCUUUAUAAAAGUAGCAGUUCCAUUGUGAAGGCGGUGAUAAAUGUAAAACCAUAAAUUCUGGAAAUAGUCGUAGUAAAUAGAUAGAAACAAGAGUGGUUCACAGAUAAGGAUAUGAAGCAUACUCACUGUAUUUUACCAAAAAUGAUGUUCCUAUAUUUUGUAGACCAGAGAGCCUUUUUAAAGGAAACAAAUUCAUAACCAAAUACCAUCUAGAAUUACCUCUAUUAAUAAAUUGUCAAUGUAAUAUUUUAAUUAAAACAUAUAUCACGUAUUUUCUUCUCUGUAUAAUUUUAUAAAAUAUCUAUGAUAAGAAAGAAAAUAAUGGAAUGCAUUUUCUUUAACAUAUUAUCCUACAUUAUACUCUUUCUAAUCUCUAGAGAC